AGUGCUCGGCUGUUUUUAACCAGUUUGAGCCUGUUUCAAUGUCAGAGCUUACAGGGACAGUUGUUAAACUGAGACCCUCGUCCAGUCCAACAGACCCGGUCCCUUCUCACUUUUUUAAGGAGGUCUGGGACACUAAUGGUUCUUUUAUAAGAGAAAUCAUAAACAGCAGCUUGGUUUCUGGCAUUGUGCCCGCUUUCUGUAAGAAAGCUGUUGUUGAGCCUCUAGAUCUCAGGCUUCAU
Molecule: long non-coding RNA, 239 nt
Organism: Melanotaenia boesemani (Boeseman's rainbowfish)
Lineage: Eukaryota; Metazoa; Chordata; Actinopteri; Atheriniformes; Melanotaeniidae
Exons: 3
Source: RefSeq, a predicted model, not a curated record